CUCGGAUCCCCUAGGAGCCGACCUCUGCCUUUCCACGUGUGGCUCUCGGUGGGGACUCCUCAAAGCAAAUCCAGAGGGCCUGCCCCGCCCUCCAGACAGCCUGUCCCUAACGGCAGGGUCGAGGUCCGCGUGCGCCGCGCGUGCGCAGCCAGCCUGCGCCCCGUCCAUCCACUCCCAGCCCCCUGCGGCGGCCCCUUGGCCUCACCACUGCCCUGCAUCCUCGGGAGGUGCUCGGGGGAAGAGAAACAUGCAGGCUAGGGCAGAAAAUAUUCUCCAAAAUGGCCACAGAAACAUCUCCCACGCCGUGGACUCUUCUACCGUGUAACCUAGCCCCGCGGCCAUCAACCUUGCCCCCAUCCCUCCCCGGACCUGGCCAGACUUUUGUUUCUGCCUCUACCAAUAACAUGACAGAAGGGCCUCUGGAAGCGGGUCCUGAAAGGUGAUUCGGCUUCCUCCUGGGUCUCCCUCCUGGGACACUUGUUUCUAGAACCACUGGCCACAAGGAAGCAGAGCGCAGGGGUGAACAAGCUGGGCUUUGCAGAGAGAGCAGAGGUACCACCCGAAGCCGUGUUUGACUUGGCUCCCACUGUGUUGUUUUUAGAAAAAGAAUGUGUUGCCAACGUUUAAAAAUUGGAAGACUUCAAAUAAAGACCUGUAGAUGUAUAAAUAUGUAUUUUCCCCCUGAUUAUAGAAACAAACAUGCUAAGAUUUUCUCUUGAAAAUCAGACGAGCUGGCCCCACUAGGUCUGCAUUUCCCUGUGGCAACAACUAGCUAGAACUGAGCAUUAGGUAAGGGGGUCCCUCUCCAGUGUGCCCCAGGCCCCACCACUCCCUAUCGUCUUAAGCUUACCAGGCUUCACUCACUGCAUUAAAUGCCUGGUCCCCGUCAGCAUUUGAUUUUAGAAUUCCCAAGGCUCGUUGACUCAGCUGGCCAUCCAGGCCCAUCGCUUACUAGCUGUGUGACCUUGGGCAUGCCACUGACUUUGCCUC
This 990-nucleotide long non-coding RNA is filed under the name Equus caballus (horse). Its description in RNAcentral is "lncRNA (ENSECAG00000052955.1)". Lineage: Eukaryota; Metazoa; Chordata; Mammalia; Perissodactyla; Equidae. The record is from RNAcentral.